AGGGCUUCGCAAGGCGGUUUUUUAAGUCUGAAUGUGAAAAGCCCCCGGCUCAACCGGGGAAGGGUCAUUGGAAACUGGGGAACUUGAGUGCAGAAGAGGAGAGUGGAAUUCCACGUGUAGCGGUGAAAUGCGUAGAGAUGUGGAGGAACACCAGUGGCGAAGGCGACUCUCUGGUCUGUAACUGACGCUGAGGAGCGAAAGCGUGGGGAGCGAACAGGAUUAGAUACCCUGGUAGUCCACGCCGUAAACGAUGAGUGCUAAGUGUUAGGGGGUUUCCGCCCCUUAGUGCUGCAGCUAACGCAUUAAGCACUCCGCCUGGGGAGUACGGUCGCAAGACUGAAACUCAAAGGAAUUGACGGGGGCCCGCACAAGCGGUGGAGCAUGUGGUUUAAUUCGAAGCAACGCGAAGAACCUUACCAGGUCUUGACAUCCUCUGACAAUCCUAGAGAUAGGACGUCCCCUUCGGGGGCAGAGUGACAGGUGGUGCAUGGUUGUCGUCAGCUCGUGUCGUGAGAUGUUGGGUUAAGUCCCGCAACGAGCGCAACCCUUGAUCUUAGUUGCCAGCAUUCAGUUGGGCACUCUAAGGUGACUGCCGGUGACAAACCGGAGGA
RNAcentral lists this ribosomal RNA (611 nucleotides) under Bacillus subtilis. Its description in RNAcentral is "bacterial SSU rRNA". It matches the Rfam family "Bacterial small subunit ribosomal RNA", at positions 564 to 1170 of the family's 1533-position model. Lineage: Bacteria; Bacillati; Bacillota; Bacilli; Caryophanales; Bacillaceae. The record is from RNAcentral.